UGGUAGACUGUAGCCCCUAUCACAGACCCAAUUGUCUAAAAUUGACUAUUUAUUUUAGGGAUAAGGUAUAAAUAUAAAAUUUUAAAGUGUUUAAUGUACAAAAUUAAAGAAAUCAAUGUAAAUGUUAUGAUGUAUUAUAAAUAAAUAAAAUAGAGUCAUAUCUAAUUAAGAGUCUUGUGCUAAUAUUUUGAUUGUACACCUUAAUCGACAGAUCUAGUAUUAACUACUAUGUUUCAAGGAAUUAACUAAAAAAAUUAUGUCAUAAAAAGAACCAAGUUAUUUGAGGCACACCCUAACCAUCAUGGCCGUUACUGCACAACCAUAAUUCUUAUUGUCUUGUCUCAAAAUUCACACUUUUUUCUAGAUGAAUUAUUGCCAUAAUGUCCAACAGUGGGGAAGACUUUCUACAACCUUUCAAGAAGUAAAAUAUUAUUAAUUAAAUAAAACCAACAUAGUAUAUAACACUGUUCAAAACAAAUUUGGUGUCAUCUUAAAAAAAGAAAGUCAGAAACAUGACUACUAAUGUUUAACCUUACAUAAUUGUUCAUAACAACCAAAAAAGAAGAAAACAAGUGUUUGUGAAACAAAUGUCAACAUUUACUAAAUUGGUUUUUUUUAUUUUAAAUGUCGAUAUUUUUUAUUUUUUUAAGUUUUUAAAUUAAAAAAAGUAAUUGAUUUAAUAUAUUUUAAAUCACACAAGAUACAAUUUUAUGAUAUAAAAUUAUUUAUAAUUAUUUAUAUGUAAUUAACUAAAUUAAAAAUAUAAAUUUUUUAUAAAGUUGAAAGCUAAAUUUUUACGACAUUUUAUUCUAACUUAAUUUAUGAAUGUUAAUCAUUGUAUAUUAUUAUAUCAGAUUAAAAAAAUGAAAAGAAGAUAACAAAACUAUUGAUUUUUAAAAUAGAGAUCAAUUUCAACGAUCGAUAAAAAUAUAAAAACUAAAAUUAUAUAUAAGUCAAUUUUUUUUAUAAAAGUCUUAUAGCUAACGAUGUAUAUAACAAAACUAACAAUUAGGUGAGUGGUGAAAAAGAUAAAUUUAAAGGUUUUUUUUUUUUGGCAAAUGUUACCGUUAAACGUUAGUUACCGAUUUAUAUUUUCUGUUAAAUUCGUCUAUUUGGCUGCAUGCGUGUAUCGUGUCAAUAUAAGAGAGCAUGUACAUUGAGAUCAUUUCAUCUGACUUCGUUUUCUCUCAUUUAUCAUUUCAAAAAAGUCCUGUGUGCAUGAUGUCAAAUUUGAAACACUUUAUAGUACCUCAUAUUUUUUCUAAUAUAUUUUUGGUUUCUUUUAUACCAAAGUAUUUAAAAGGAAAAAUUAUUAAUAAACAUCCAGAUAUUUAGAUGACAAUUUGAAAGAAAAAAAAUAGUGGAGAACAAUGUGAUAGAUAGAAUAAAAGAGAUAUAAAAAGAAAUUAAAAAUGUUGAAUGGAAGUAUGAAAUGAUGGAUGUCCAAAGUGUAUCAUUUUUGUUUUAGAAAUUGGAUUGGUGUUUUUAUGUCUAAGAUUUUUUUUAUAGUUGAAUGUUAGUGGUUAAUUUGUUAGUAAAGAGAGAGAAAUAUUAGUAGUAGGAAUCAAAUCUUUAACCUCUUUUUUUAUAUUUUUUUUGUCUCUUAACUCACCAAUCGAACACUUAAUUACGCAGAAUCAACAAAUUUUUAAGGUGAAAACUAUAUCUAAUACCAUAUUACUAUUCUUGAUCAGGGACAACUCUACUUUAUAGAGAGUAGGGUUAGAGCUCCUACUAUGUUUUGAUUCUUCAUUAUAGAUAGAUAGACAAAUAGAAACAAAAAUAGUUUAAUUGACUAAUGUAACCUAUACAAAUCCAAAAUUGUAAGGAUUCAAUUACUUAAGUUUGUUCUUGAUAGAAGUUAUUGAUGCGAUAAAUAGAUAGAAAAGUAUAAUAAUAUAAAAAUUAAAUUGAUAAUGAGAAUCUAAUUACAUUAAGGGUUAUAUAAGAUUUAUAUAAUCAAUGAAGAAGAAACUAAUAACAAGUGUAACUAAUUAAUGUGACUAACUAUUCUAACUAACAAGAGUGUAUCUAAUACUAUACACUAUUCGAGAGAUAAAUCUUUCUGACAUAUCUUAGAUCGGUUCAUUAAGAGGUUUCCAAUAUAUAUUUUUUUAUAACAAUGAUACACAUAUACUCCUAAUUUUUUUGUACUCAUUCAACAUUUCAUUUUCUCUUUAUGUCUCUCUUUCUAUCACAUUAUCAAUAUAUUAUAUUUAGCACGUUACUUUUUUUAUCUCUUUAUUUUUCAAAGUGUAUACACUUCUAUAGGUGUACAGUAAACAUUUUUCAUUUUUCUAUAUGCAUUUUGGUGAUAUUUUGGUUUUAUAAAAAAAACAAAAAUAACGUCAUAUUUUGGUAUUAUCAAUAAAUAUUAUUGAUGGCUUUGAUCCGGUCGUGUCCACUGACCAGAAAUAAUAAAUAAGACAGCCAUUAGAAACGUUAAUUCCUGAUGCUGCAUAUGUGCCCUAAUGUCUUUGUCACCUACCAUUAAUAAAAACACUUUCGAUACAGCGAGCUAACAAUAUUAAUUAGUUCAUAUGAACUCCAUGUGAAUAUCACAUGUCUACAUGGCAGUCAGCAAGUAUGCCAAUAACAAUAUUGUUCACAAGUCAAACCUAAGACACAAUGACACAUACCUCAACCGUAUAUACCAAAAUGUUUUUUUGACGAUGGAAUUGAUGGAAUUGAUGGAAGAGUCUCUGAGAGGCUUACCAAGCACAUUGUAUACUUGGAAAUUUGAAUGUAGUACAAAACUGUGUGCUACUUUGGAUUUUAGUGUUGUCUUUACUCUCUCAUGCACUCAUUAACUUUUUAAUGACUUAAUGAAAACUUGUUUUAAGUACUAAUUAACACAACUAGAAGGUUGCAAGUUUUACAAUUUCCUAAGAGCUUUGAUCACUAGAUAUAUACUUAACGAGUGUGUUUAAUUGGUGAAAUUAUUACAAGAAAGGAUAGAAUAUGAGUGGAUUUAUGGCAAAGAGGUGUAAUAAGAGAUAUACAUCAACAAUAUGUUGUGUUUUGUUUUGAAGUUGUUGAAACUCUUAAUCACCUAUUUUUUAGGAAAAGAAAAUUUGGAAAUCAAUUUCCAAAAAUGACUUUAUUGGUAUCCCUAAUAUUUGAGGAGUGAAGUGAUAGAUAAUAUUGUCUUUUAAUGCAUUAGUGAAAGGAAAAAUAUGUUUAUCAUGUGUUUAGUCUCGUUUGAUUGACCACUACUUCUGUAUUUGGUUGGAAACGAGUAACAUUUUAUUUGCAGAAAAAGUGACAAAACAAAUAUGAUAGAGGUGACUGGUAAAUUAUGCUAAUUUGUAUUUUUAGUGUUUUAGAUGAGUUAAAAUAAAAGGUGCUCUCACAAUAAAAUUGUGUAUUUUUUAUUGCAAAAUCAUUAACAACCUAUUUAUAAUUAAUCUUCUAGAUUUCAAAUAAAUUUUUAAUAAUUUUAAUUUUAAAAAAAUGUCUCAAAUGACGAUAACGAUGAUUAGUAUUAUUAUAAUGUACAAUAUGAAAAUAAUUAAAUAUUUCUUGUAAUUUUUUAAUUAUUCAAAUAUAAUUUUGUCAUCAAUAUCAUGAGAACUAUCGUGUUUUAGAUAAUUAUGAAGAUGGUUGGAAGAAAAUUUUAAAUCAUUAUAAGAUAAUUAUUUAAACAUUUUCAAUAUAAACAAAAUUACAACAAUCUUUGGUCAACUAUUCAUAUCUCUAGCUAUAAUAAGUGAACUACAUACUUAUGUACCAUAUAUAAAAAAAAUGACGAAGUCAAUAGAUUCUUCAAGAGACUCAAUGUGCGUGCAUAUUCAUAUAAAUUUUUAUUAUAGUAUUUUUUCUACAAAGUUUUAUUUUAAUUUAGAAAUUUUAAGCGUUAUAAACUUUAACUAAAGAAACAAUAAAAAAUAAUUAAGUACAUCAUUAAAUUUAAAUUACAAAAAAAAUCAAUUUUAAUCAACUGUGUAUUUUCUAUAGUAUUUUCAAUUCAAUUCAUUUUUCAUACAUAUUUUAAAAAUUAUUUAUUACAAUUAUUUUAACUUUAUAUGUAUCAUGAAAAUCCAUCCUCUUUUAUUUUUCAUGUAUUAAAUAUGAUUUUUAAAGUCAUGCAUGUUAUAUGAACAUCAAUAUUAUAUACCAUAGUAAACUUUAACUCUUAUUAAAUUUAUAUAAUAUGUAUAAUAUGGUAAGUAAUUGUAUUAUAUAUAUAAAUAGUGUAAGUGAAAAUAAAAAUUAAUUUUUGUUUACCUUUUUAUCUAUAUAAUUAUUAUUUUUUAUUAUUGAUUUAUUAUUAUUUAUUAUUUUUAUUAUUGAUGUUUUAAAUAUGAUGUGAACUUGUAUUGAUAUUAUUAUUUGAUAUUUUUAAUAGUGUACCGUAUAAAGAAAUAAAUUAAGAUCCAACCCAAAAUAAAUAAAAAUAAUGAAGAAAAAAAAUCGGUAAUAUCCUAAGAAUCGAUACCGAGUACCUGCAGAUGCCGUUGUUUUGGUCAUCACCUCCAGGUUUGGCCGUUAUCUCUACUUUCUCUUUUAAAAACUCCUCUUUUCUUAUUGAAUCAGCCGUCAUGAAUCCAUCCGCUAACAGUCUAAACAUCGGUAGACUUUUAUGCCCGUAAUGGAUUAAUAGACUGUGUCUGAACGAACAAUUUAUGCCCGUAACCGUUCAAGAAAGAGGUUCGAUUUAGCAGUUGAUGUUAGAUCUGGUUAAGAUGUAAGUUGUAGCGGUGUGGUUAGCAUGUAAGUUGUAGCGGUGUCUGUGUAUCAGUUCUAUUAUGUUAUCGCUUGUGUAUCACAGAAUGAUAAAUAUAGUAUCAACUAUUUCAUCUAACCCAUCACGUCCAUAAUUUUUGUUUUUC
This 4832-nucleotide long non-coding RNA is filed under the name Cicer arietinum (chickpea). Its description in RNAcentral is "long non-coding RNA (CARI_LNC001662)". The record is from RNAcentral. Lineage: Eukaryota; Viridiplantae; Streptophyta; Magnoliopsida; Fabales; Fabaceae.